Non-coding RNA from Prunus mume (Japanese apricot), 1751 nucleotides. The record is from RefSeq and is a predicted model, not a curated record. NCBI's taxonomy places the organism in Eukaryota, Viridiplantae, Streptophyta, Magnoliopsida, Rosales, Rosaceae.
ACGGACCCGUUACUCCAGAUAGCGUUUUCUAUCACGGCUUCACUGUUGCAAGAUUUGCUGGAUCGUUCGGAACAAAAAGAGAAAACGCAAAAGCAGGUGUACCGGCUGUUACACGUUUGCCUCCAAAUUCCAAACAAAUAGAGGGAGAGAGAGAAGCUGUGUCCAUACGGCAGUGGAGGAGGGACGAUCACAGGUACCCUAACCCUAAAACAAAACCAAUCGAAAGAUGCCGGAGAAGAAGAAGAAGAAGAGGUACGAAUUCGAGUACUGCGUGGUUUGCAAGCUGAAUCACGACCAAGGCCCGAGCCACAAGUACAUACCGAGCCAUACCAAGUCCCUCUCUACCUUCCUCUCUCGGUUCCAGGACAAGCUCUCCGACGUCCGCUUCUUUCUCAAAAACCCUACCCCUCUCCGCCCCGAACUCGCCUCUCGCAAUCGCCUCUGGUGCGUCUUCUGCGACACCGACAUUGACGAGCUAGAUAGCUCCUUCGCUUGUGGUAAUGCAAUUAAUCACCUUGCAAGUGCGGAACAUCUGAAGAAUUUGAAGCAUUUUUUGUGGAAAUAUGGUGGAGGAAUGGAUCGCCUUGAUACAUUUAGAAUAUCGGAAGAUGACCUUGCUAUGUGGGAGAAGAAGUGCAAAUCAUUGAAGAAUGAAGCUGUGCCCUGCGGAGAAAAAUCUCGAGGACCAACGUUUGGACCUUCAAAUGAUAUCCAUAAUGAACUGAAAUAUGGAAUUAUAGAUACUUUUGAAAAUAAUAGUAAUUCAAGUUUUUCAAAUGGUGUUAUGCCUUUACUAUAUCAUACAAAUGAGCAUCAGGUAUCCCAUUCAGGACCCCCUCAAGUUACAAAUGUUGGCUGCUUUCCUCAAGACAUGGCUACCUCUUCUUUACACGGGGAAACAUGUUCUGGUACAUAUUCCAUAAAUUCAAAAGGUUUAACAGUUAGCAGCAGUACCCAACAUUCUUUUAUUUCUAAUGGUAGAAAGUGCUCAGCUGAUGGUUAUUUCAGUAAUGAAAGGAUGAGCGAGGUGUAUCAGCAUGAAAGAAUGACAAAAGGACUGAGCAGUUCUCCGGGUUUUCAGAAUCUCACACAAAUAUCUUCCACGGGUUCUAAAGAGGCUAGUGGAAAUGUGCAUUCUGGGGCACCUCCUCCUUGGCUUGAAGCAGAUGAAGAAAUUCAGUUUACUGUUCCAUUGAAACCAGCUUCAGGUACCCGUAUCUCUCCGUCAAAUAAGUCGGGGAAGUCCAAGAAAUUGAACCCAAAACGAGUGGGAGCAGCUUGGGCAGAAAGAAGAAAGAGGGAGAUGGAGAUGGAGAAAAGAGGGGAGAUUGUCAAGAGUGACUGUGAUGCUAAUUGGCUCCCUAAUUUUGGUAGAGUGUGGCAAUCUGGUAGCCGAAAAGAGUCCAGAAAAGAAUUUGAGUUGGAGAAACAAAAAUUGCCUAAGGUUGAAAGUGAAUUUGAGAUGCCAAUUAAGAUACAGCCUUAUGUCAGCAAACGGAUGCGAACAAAUGAGAGUGAAUGAUUGUGCCAUGAUGGUUAUGCAAGUUGAUGAUAGCUCUGAUGACAGCUGAGCUGGAAUUUUGAAGGAAGGCAGGAAGCAAACACGUGAAACUCUGCCCAAAAUUGGAUGAUCAGUUUUUAGGCUGGUGUACAAAAUAGAGUUGGCAAAAAUUUGUAGAGUUUGAUUGGCCUGUGAUCCUAAAGUUCCAUAAUCUCCCUUUCGAAGAAAUUAAGUUCUCAUCACACAGAAA